RNAcentral lists this ribosomal RNA (244 nucleotides) under uncultured bacterium. RNAcentral's name for it is "partial 16S ribosomal RNA". It matches the Rfam family "Bacterial small subunit ribosomal RNA", at positions 92 to 334 of the family's 1533-position model. The record is from RNAcentral.
CGACCGGCGCACGGGUGAGUAACACGUAUCCAACCUGCCGUCUACUCUUGGCCAGCCUUCUGAAAGGAAGAUUAAUCCAGGAUGGGAUCAUGAGUUCACAUGUCCGCAUGAUUAAAGGUAUUUUCCGGUAGACGAUGGGGAAGCGUUCCAUUAGAUAGUAGGCGGGGUAACGGCCCACCUAGUCAACGAUGGAUAGGGGUUCUGAGAGGAAGGUCCCCCACAUUGGAACUGAGACACGGUCCAA